GUAGAAGCAGCAACCACCCACAGCAGCAGCAGCAACGGCAGUGGCAGUGGCAGCGCCAGCAGCACGUGCCCCCCGCCAGCGUCAACAAACAACAUCCUACAAUCAACAUCUUUCCGAGUACUCCCCGCCAAGGUGUGCGUGUGGUCUUUGCACUACAAUUUCCAUGCCCCCUCCAUAGAACUUUUUUUCAAAGUGCUUUCGUUUUUUUUUUGUUUUUUUUUUUGUCGCGUGUUGAGUGUCGAAGGUGCUUCAGAAAAACUACGGCAAGAAAAAAAAGUGUUUAAAAAUCUCAGGCAAAGCAAAUCAAAGUGCACCACCGAAGGGGGAAGAGCCGAAAGUGCGAUCCCCAUCGAAACUCUACAAAAAAAUGGAACCCAAAAAGUCAUACUCUACUCGAACUGAAACUUCAGAGCGACUAAGCGACUAAAACCAACCAAAACAGAACGUGGACUCGAGAACAGCAUUUUAAGAUAAAUACAUAAAACGUAACAAAUUCAAAAGAAGACAGAACCGAAACAAGACAACACAAAAAAAUUUAUUAAAAAAUUACAAAAAAAUUCAACACAAGUAAAAGCUGAAGCUAAAAAGCAAUUAAAACAAAUUGUGCCGUAAGUCAGGUUGGUGGGCGAACGGCCCGGGCCCCCCAACUCCCGUUCCAACAAAAACAACAACAAAAACAACACUCCACCUAAAGCAACAGCAACAAAGAAACAGAAACUGAAACUGAAACUCUCCACCGCACAAAAAGGUAAGCGAAAUUCAGAACGGUAAAAGGGAAUUAUUUAAUUAAUAUUUCAUAAAAUACAAUCAAAAUGAAACUCUCUGAAUGGUAGAGUCUCUUGCCACGUUGCCACCUGCAUACUUUAAGGGUGAAACGAAACGAAACAUAAAUAAAUACAUAUUAUACCAUAUUAUUACAUAUAGGACUCGUUGUCCUGCUAUUCCCACUUGAAGCCGCAUAUCAUUUUGCACUCGAUUGCAUUUGAUUCGAUUUCCGUUGAAAAUUAUGCGUACAAAAAAUGAAAAAGGAACAAUAUGAAAAAAAAAACAAGAAAAAUGAUGCCAGCAAUUUAGCAAUAU
RNAcentral lists this small RNA (1080 nucleotides) under Drosophila pseudoobscura pseudoobscura. Its description in RNAcentral is "GA31108". Lineage: Eukaryota; Metazoa; Arthropoda; Insecta; Diptera; Drosophilidae. The record is from RNAcentral.